GGUCGGUUCGGCCGGGUUUCACACAGGUGUUGCAUGGCUGUCGUCAGCUCGUGUCGUGAGAUGUUGGGUUAAGUCCCGCAACGAGCGCAACCCUCAUCCUUAGUUACCAUCAGGUAAUGCUGGGGACUUUAAGGAAACUGCCAGUGAUAAACUGGAGGAAGGUGGGGAUGAUGUCAAGUCAUCAUGGCCCUUAUGGAGUGGGCUACACACGUGCUACAAUGGUGGCUACAAUGGGCUGCAAAGUCGCGAGGCUAAGCUAAUCCCUUAAAAGCCAUCUCAGUUCGGAUUGUACUCUGCAACUCGAGUGCAUGAAGUUGGAAUCGCUAGUAAUCGUGGAUCAGCACGCCACGGUGAAUACGUUCUCGGGUCUUGUACACACUGCCCGUCACGCCAUGG
This 396-nucleotide ribosomal RNA is filed under the name Wolbachia pipientis. RNAcentral's name for it is "bacterial SSU rRNA". It matches the Rfam family "Bacterial small subunit ribosomal RNA", at positions 1013 to 1407 of the family's 1533-position model. Lineage: Bacteria; Pseudomonadati; Pseudomonadota; Alphaproteobacteria; Rickettsiales; Anaplasmataceae. The record is from RNAcentral.